AGCUAACCUGCACUGGACUUAGGCUGAAUUUGUCAUUUAUUUCAAUUUGCCGGCUUGUUGAAGCAUAUUGAUUCGACCGCACCUUUUUUGCUCUAUUGGACUUCGAUCUCAGUGGACUCACAAUGGUUUAACACAGGAGCUUUCUUCGAACAUGAGGUCUUUCAGGUGGCUCAAAUUAAGAUGGAAAAUCCCUACUAGACCCUUCUCUCCCCCCCCCAAGACUAUGACACAAGGACUCUUCUGGAUCCCGUAUUUCUAAAUACCAAAAAUCGUUUUAACUCUGGAACGGCCAUUUAUUUACUAUUUACUAUUUGCUAUUUUUUCAAUCUUUCCUCUAUUGUAAUGAUUGCUUAAUAAACUUGUUAUGACAUGCCAUGAACACUACUAUAC
Molecule: long non-coding RNA, 390 nt
Organism: Tigriopus californicus
Lineage: Eukaryota; Metazoa; Arthropoda; Copepoda; Harpacticoida; Harpacticidae
Exons: 3
Source: RefSeq, a predicted model, not a curated record